ACCUUGCUGAUGAGUGCCAAGUAGCACGAAACCCGUGUCCAGGAU
Molecule: non-coding RNA, 45 nt
Filed under: Schistosoma haematobium
Lineage: Eukaryota; Metazoa; Platyhelminthes; Trematoda; Strigeidida; Schistosomatidae
Source: RNAcentral